UAAAAGUUUUAUUCUAACUUAGAAAUUAGAUUUAAUUUUAUUUUACAUGCAAGUUUUAGCUUAAAGUUUUUAGAGGCUUAGAUAGCUUUUAUUUGGGAAAUUUUAUUCGCAGUAGAGGAAUUUAAAUAUCAUAUAAUUAUGGAUUUGGAAAUAAUUUUUAAUAUUGACUAAAUUUGUGCCAGCAGUUGCGGUUAGACAGGUAAUAUAAUUUAAUUUUUUCGGGGACAGUUAACUUAAAAAUGUGGAAUUUUUAAUUUGAUUUUAUUGAGUGAAAUCUUGAAUUUAAUUGAAAAUUUAUCCUUAUUAGUGAGGCUGAGAAAUUCUUGCACCUAGACUAGGAUUAGAUACCCUAUUAUUUUGAACGUGAACUCUUAAUUCCUGAUUAGUAUUAGUUAUGUGCUUUAAAAUUAAAGAUUUUGGCGGUAUUUUAGUCCCUUCAGAGGAACCUGUCCUAUAAUCGAUGGUCCACGAUUAACUUUACUUUUUUUAUUAGUUUAUAUAUCGUCGUAGGUUGAACAUUUUAUUAGAACUUAAAUGUUCACGAUCUCUUUCCAGGGAGGAAAUCAGAUCAAGGUGUAGCUUAUAAGAAAGAAGAGAUGGGUUACAAUAAAUUUAUUUGAGGAUUGGUCGGCUUGAAAAGGGCCAUGAAUAUGGAUUUGAAGGUAAUUUUAAUUUAUAAUUAAGAUGAUUUUGGCUCUAAAGUAUGCACAUAUCGCCCGUCGCUUUCAUUCCAAGGUGAAAUAAGUCGUAACAUAGUAGGCUUACUGGAAAGUGAGCCUAGAAAG
Molecule: non-coding RNA, 785 nt
Filed under: Paulhutchinsonia pilosicollis
Lineage: Eukaryota; Metazoa; Arthropoda; Insecta; Coleoptera; Cerambycidae
Source: RNAcentral